UACGAAGGGGGCUAGCGUUGUUCGGAAUUACUGGGCGUAAAGGGCGCGCAGGCGGUUUUGUAAGCCAGAUGUGAAAUCCCCGGGCUUAACCUGGGAAUGGCAUUUGGGACUGCAAGGCUUGAGUGCGGCAGAGGAGACUGGAAUUCCUGGUGUAGCAGUGAAAUGCGUAGAUAUCAGGAGGAACACCGAUGGCGAAGGCAGGUCUCUGGGCUGACACUGACGCUCAUGCACGAAAGCGUAGGGAGCAAACAGG
Molecule: ribosomal RNA, 253 nt
Filed under: uncultured bacterium
Lineage: Bacteria
Description: partial 16S ribosomal RNA
Rfam family: Bacterial small subunit ribosomal RNA
Source: RNAcentral